CAGUCUGUUCUUCUACGGACACCCCAGAGACCUCCGCCAGGCCCUUAUUUCUCAAAGUGGACGCUUUGGAUUUCCGUGAACGAACAAGUACGUCUCUAAACUCUGCAACUUCUCCUUCGGCUCACGACUUUUUCGUUGAAUCCUGGUUUAUUCCGUAGUCCUUUGAUCUGUUCCGUUGUCAAGUAAGACAUAGAACUCUGGAGCGUCCUUCAAUCAGGACAGGAAAUUUUCCCCUUCAAGCAGAAGGUACAGAUCCAGCUAUGAUGGUCAGUCUAACUCAUUGGCAAUCAGAUCCGAGAGUUGAGUCUUCUGACGUUCAUGAUAGACAGAAAAUAUUUUGGAGUCCGUCUGACCGUGUUAAAUGGAAUCAUGGGCCGUUUCCGACUUUAUUUCGGAGGUUAAAUUCUCAUCGAUCCCCAGUUUUGUUCGUAUGUAUCCCCAAACACUCUGGGCUGCUCCUCACCCCUCACCGUCACAUCGCGGCUACUGCGGCCACCAUCUCUUCUUGUUAGUUGAAAGAAGAACCAAGAACAAAGAAAAAUAGCAUUCGAUGGCGUGCUUCACCACCACGGCCUGGCGGCAGCCAACAGCAGCCUGACGAGUUCCAACCAGCGUCCUUCCGGGCACGAUAG
This 632-nucleotide long non-coding RNA is filed under the name Spirodela polyrhiza (greater duckweed). RNAcentral's name for it is "long non-coding RNA (SPOL_LNC002004)". The record is from RNAcentral. Lineage: Eukaryota; Viridiplantae; Streptophyta; Magnoliopsida; Alismatales; Araceae.